GGUUCGGUGGCGUAGUUGGUUAUCGCAUCUGUCUAACAUCAUUUGCCAUAAGCGGAAAUUCCACAGAAGGUCCCCAGUUCGAGCCUGGGUCGAAUCA
This 97-nucleotide transfer RNA is filed under the name Lentinula detonsa. RNAcentral's name for it is "tRNA-Val". The record is from RNAcentral. Lineage: Eukaryota; Fungi; Basidiomycota; Agaricomycetes; Agaricales; Omphalotaceae.